This 120-nucleotide ribosomal RNA is filed under the name uncultured bacterium. RNAcentral describes it as "partial 16S ribosomal RNA". It matches the Rfam family "Bacterial small subunit ribosomal RNA", at positions 28 to 144 of the family's 1533-position model. The record is from RNAcentral.
GACGAACGCUGGCGGCGUGCUUAACACAUGCAAGUCGAACGGAAAGGCCCUGCUUUUGUGGGGUGCUCGAGUGGCGAACGGGUGAGUAACACGUGAGUAACCUGCCCUUGACUUUGGGAU